This 548-nucleotide long non-coding RNA is filed under the name Hordeum vulgare. RNAcentral's name for it is "long non-coding RNA (HVUL_LNC020617)". Lineage: Eukaryota; Viridiplantae; Streptophyta; Magnoliopsida; Poales; Poaceae. The record is from RNAcentral.
AGGGAUUGGUGUUUCGGUGCACAUCUGUCCAAAACAAUACCCCCGGAGUUGCUAUAAAUUACUCAUUUUGGCACCCAUAAGUUAAGAAAACGAUUCAAUUUUUCUUUACAAAGUCAAUGUCAUGCUUCAUUGUUGUAUAGAAGUUAUACCGAUAUAAAUCACAUUUGCACAAGCACCGCAGUGGCUAACGUGUAGCUCUUCUAACCAGGAGAACGGGUUUGAGCCCCAGCUUCCAUACUUUUUCGCUCCCUUUUCUCACCCGCGUCUUCCACCCACGUAUGCGUCCAUGUCCGGGGCUUGACUCCCUGUUUUUUUGUCUUUUUUUCUCUCAUUUUGUUUUCUUAUUGCUUUAAAUUCAUUCAAGACAUCCAAAUUUUAAAAGUUGUAAGUUUUCAAAAGAAAAUGUUUGAGAAAUCCUAAAAUGUAUGCGAAUACAAAAAAAUGUUUAGGAAAUAAUCAAAAAAUUGCGGACUCAGAAAAUGUUAGUAUUUUUGCAAAACUGUUCGCAAGUAAUAAAAAAAUACUUAGUAAAAAUGGGUAGGAAAUAA